AUCCAGUAACAAUCCAGAGGUCACCACCCUUCCCAACCAUCCACUAACAAUCCAGAGGUCACCACCCUUCCCAACAAUCCAGUAACAAUCCAGAGGUCACCACCCCUUUCCAACAAUCCAGCAACGACCCAGAGGUCACCACCCUUCCCAACCAUCCACUAACAAUCCAGAGGUCACCACCCUUCCCAACCAUCCAGUAACAAUCCAGAGGUCACCACCCUUCCCAACCAUCCACUAACAAUCCAGAGGUCACCACCCUUCCCAACCAUCCACUAACAAUCCAGAGGUCACCACCCUUCCCAACAAUCCACUAACAAUCCAGAGGUCACCACCCUUCCCAACAAUCCACUAACAAUCCAGAGGUCACCACCCUUCCCAACCAUCCACUAACAAUCCAGAGGUCACCACCCUUCCCAACCAUCCAGCAACGACCCAGAGGUCACCACCCUUCCCAACCAUCCACUAACAAUCCAGAGGUCACCACCCUUCCCAACCAUCCACUAACAAUCCAGAGGUCACCACCCUUCCCAACAAUCCACUAACAAUCCAGAGGUCACCACCCUUCCCAACCAUCCACUAACAAUCCAGAGGUCACCACCCUUCCCAACCAUCCACUAACAAUCCAGAGGUCACCACCCCUUCCCAACAAUCCAGCAACGACCCAGAGGUCACCACCCUUCCCAACAAUCCAGUAACAAUCCAGAGGUCACCACCCUUCCCAACCAUCCACUAACAAUCCAGAGGUCACCACCCUUCCCAACCAUCCACUAACAAUCCAGAGGUCACCACCCUUCCCAACAAUCCAGCAACGACCCAGAGGUCACCACCCUUCCCAACAAUCCACUAACAAUCCAGAGGUCACCACCCUUCCCAACAAUCCAGUAACAAUCCAGAGGUCACCACCCUUCCCAACAAUCCACUAACAAUCCAGAGGUCACCACCCUUCCCAACAAUCCACUAACAAUCCAGAGGUCACCACCCUUCCCAACAAUCCACUAACAAUCCAGAGGUCACCACCCCUUCCCAACAAUCCAGCAACGACCCAGAGGUCACCACCCUUCCCAACAAUCCAGCAACGACCCAGAGGUCACCACCCUUCCCAACAAUCCAGUAACAAUCCAGAGGUCACCACCCUUCCCAACAAUCCACUAACAAUCCAGAGGUCACCACCCUUCCCAACCAUCCACUAACAAUCCAGAGGUCACCACCCUUCCCAACAAUCCACUAACAAUCCAGAGGUCACCACCCUUCCCAACAAUCCACUAACAAUCCAGAGGUCACCACCCUUCCCAACAAUCCACUAACAAUCCAGAGGUCACCACCCUUCCCAACAAUCCAGCAACGACCCAGAGGUCACCACCCUUCCCAACAAUCCAGUAACAAUCCAGAGGUCACCACCCUUCCCAACAAUCCACUAACAAUCCAGAGGUCACCACCCUUCCCAACAAUCCAGUAACAAUCCAGAGGUCACCACCCUUCCCAACAAUCCACUAACAAUCCAGAGGUCACCACCCUUCCCAACCAUCCACUAACAAUCCAGAGGUCACCACCCUUCCCAACAAUCCACUAACAAUCCAGAGGUCACCACCCUUCCCAACAAUCCACUAACAAUCCAGAGGUCACCACCCUUCCCAACAAUCCACUAACAAUCCAGAGGUCACCACCCCUUCCCAACAAUCCAGCAACGACCCAGAGGUCACCACCCUUCCCAACAAUCCAGCAACGACCCAGAGGUCACCACCCUUCCCAACAAUCCAGUAACAAUCCAGAGGUCACCACCCUUCCCAACCAUCCACUAACAAUCCAGAGGUCACCACCCUUCCCAACCAUCCACUAACAAUCCAGAGGU
This is a long non-coding RNA of Gorilla gorilla gorilla (western lowland gorilla), 1849 nucleotides long. RefSeq lists it as uncharacterized. The record is from RefSeq and is a predicted model, not a curated record. The transcript is spliced from 5 exons. NCBI's taxonomy places the organism in Eukaryota, Metazoa, Chordata, Mammalia, Primates, Hominidae.